Molecule: ribosomal RNA, 496 nt
Filed under: uncultured bacterium
Lineage: Bacteria
Description: partial 16S ribosomal RNA
Rfam family: Bacterial small subunit ribosomal RNA
Source: RNAcentral
AUUGAACGCUGGCGGAAUGCUUUACACAUGCAAGUCGAACGGUAGAGGGGGCAACCCCUCGAGAGUGGCGAACGGGUGAGUAAUAUAUCGGAACGUGCCCAGUCGUGGGGGAUAACGUAGCGAAAGUUACGCUAAUACCGCAUACGAUCUAAGGAUGAAAGCGGGGGAUCGCAAGACCUCGCGCGAUUGGAGCGGCCGAUAUCAGAUUAGGUAGUUGGUGGGGUAGAGGCUCACCAAGCCAACGAUCUGUAGCUGGUCAGAGAGGACGGCCAGCCAAACUGGAAAUGAGACACGGUCCAGACUCCUACGGGAGGCAGCAGUGGGGAAUGUUGGACAAUGGACGCAAGUCUGAUCCAGCCAUUCCGCGUGCAGGAUGUAGGCCCUCGGGUUGUAAACUGCUUUUGUACGGAACGAAAAGGUCUCUCUUAAUACGGGGGACUCAUGACGGUACCGUAAGAAUAAGCACCGGCUAACUACGUGCCAGCCGCCGCCGUAA